AGAAUCAACGCUGGCGGCGUGCCUAACACAUGCAAGUCGAACGAGAAAGGUGGAGCAAUCCAUGAGUAAAGUGGCGACCGGGUGAGUAACACGUGACUAACCGUACCUUUUAGUGGGGGAUAACCUCGGGAAACCGAGGCUAAUACCGCAUAACAUCGCAAGAUCAAAGCAGCAAUGCGCUGGAAGAGGGGUCGCGGCUGAUUAGCUAGUUGGCGGGUAACGCCCACCAAGGCGAAGAUCGGUA
Molecule: ribosomal RNA, 244 nt
Filed under: uncultured bacterium
Lineage: Bacteria
Description: partial small subunit ribosomal RNA
Rfam family: Bacterial small subunit ribosomal RNA
Source: RNAcentral